This 196-nucleotide ribosomal RNA is filed under the name uncultured prokaryote. Its description in RNAcentral is "partial 16S ribosomal RNA". It matches the Rfam family "Bacterial small subunit ribosomal RNA", at positions 524 to 719 of the family's 1533-position model. The record is from RNAcentral.
GACAGAGGUGCCGAGCGUUAGGCGGAAUCACUGGGCUUAAAGCGUGUGUAGGCGGACGAUUAAGUACCUUGUGAAAUCCCACGGCUCAACCGUGGAACUGCUCGGUAUACUGGUCGUCUUGAGCCACUUAGGGGCAGUCGGAACAGACGGUGGAGCGGUGAAAUGCGUAGAUAUCGGCUGGAACGCCAAAGGUGAA